UCUUAUGUACAUGCCCAAAGUGUUAAUGCACCAGAUCCCAUAAGAACUCCGCAGUUAAGCACAAGAAAUACGUAUUCAAGCGCACUUGGGAUAGAGUAUUACUCGGAUGAGUGACCUAUUGGGAAGUCCUAGUGUUUUAUAUGCC
This is a non-coding RNA of Picea glauca (white spruce), 145 nucleotides long. NCBI's taxonomy places the organism in Eukaryota, Viridiplantae, Streptophyta, Pinopsida, Pinales, Pinaceae. The record is from Rfam.